This 440-nucleotide ribosomal RNA is filed under the name uncultured bacterium. Its description in RNAcentral is "partial 16S ribosomal RNA". It matches the Rfam family "Bacterial small subunit ribosomal RNA", at positions 338 to 795 of the family's 1533-position model. The record is from RNAcentral.
CCUACGGGAGGCUGCAGUAGGGAAUAUUGCUCAAUGGGGGAAACCCUGAAGCAGCAACGCCGCGUGGAGGAUGAAGGUUUUCGGAUUGUAAACUCCUUUUGUUAGAGAAGAUAAUGACGGUACCUAACGAAUAAGCACCGGCUAACUCCGUGCCAGCAGCCGCGGUAAUACGGAGGGUGCAAGCGUUACUCGGAAUCACUGGGCGUAAAGAGCGCGUAGGCGGGGUAGCAAGUAAGAUGUGAAAUCCUAUGGCUUAACCAUAGAACUGCAUUUGAAACUGUUAUUCUAGAGUAUGGGAGAGGUAGGUGGAAUUCUUGGUGUAGAGGUAAAAUCCGUAGAGAUCAAGAAGAAUACUCAUUGCGAAGGCAGCCUACUAGAACGUAACUGACACUGAUGCGCGAAAGCGUGGGGAGCAAACAGGAUUAGAUACCCUAGUAGUC